UGGGGAAUAUUGGGCAAUGGGGCGAAAGCCUGACCCAGCAACGCCGCGUGAAGGAAGAAGGUCUUCGGAUUGUAAACUUCUUUUAUGAGGGACGAAGGACGUGACGGUACCUCAUGAAUAAGCCACGGCUAACUACGUGCCAGCAGCCGCGGUAAUACGUAGGUGGCAAGCGUUGUCCGGAUUUACUGGGUGUAAAGGGCGAGUAGGCGGGCUGGUAAGUUGGAAGUGAAAUGUCGGGGCUUAACCCCGGAACUGCUUUCAAAACUGCUGGUCUUGAGUGAUGGAGAGGCAGGCGGAAUUCCUAGUGUAGCGGUGAAAUGCGUAGAUAUUAGGAGGAACACCAGUGGCGAAGGCGGCCUGCUGGACAUUAACUGACGCUGAGGAGCGAAAGCGU
RNAcentral lists this ribosomal RNA (394 nucleotides) under uncultured Oscillospiraceae bacterium. Its description in RNAcentral is "bacterial SSU rRNA". It matches the Rfam family "Bacterial small subunit ribosomal RNA", at positions 355 to 762 of the family's 1533-position model. The record is from RNAcentral. Lineage: Bacteria; Bacillati; Bacillota; Clostridia; Eubacteriales; Oscillospiraceae.